AGAGUGUUCGUUUCCGGCAUUGUGUUGGCUCUUUCCGGGAUUACACAUGUUGCUUUGUGGGCGUAGGGAGUUAGAGUGCCGCUUUAUCCUUGUUUUAAUAGUAAGGGCUAAGCGGUAGCAUCAAAAAAUCAGGUUAGGUUCUGUGACUUUAAGGCAUAAGUCCCCUACUUCAGUGGUUAAGAUUGGUUUGGUAUUUCAGAGAUGAAUAACUAGUCAUGAUGGAGAAGAGGAGGAGAGAAUAAAGUGCCAGCAUCUGCGGUUAAACUUUGUCUCCGAGUUAACAUAAGUUCGUGGUGAGGCAUCAGAGAAAACAAAGGUUUUAUUCUUAUUUAGUUCGGUGAAAUGAUUAAAGCGAGAUUAUUUAAGGGCCUUAACUCUGUUUGUUUAUGAGGCUGUAUGUUAGACGGGGAUUAGACACCCCCUUAUUAAUGUUGUAUUAUGAAUCCAUGGGUAGUACGGGCGGUUGUUUAAAAUCUAAGGAAAUUGGCGGUGACUUUAUAUCAUGUGAGGGGAACUUGGCGGUUAAUCCGAUAGUCCUCGUGGACCUUACCUUCUGUUUUCUUAGCCUACCGCCGUUGUCAGUAAUUUUUUUGUUAAGAUAGAGGAUUGCUAGGAGUAUCAAGCUGAAAGGUUGAUCUACUCGAAUUCAGGUAAGGGUGCUGGUUAUCAGAAGGGCUUAGCUGAGUUACAAUUAUGUAAUAAGACGGAAGUAGGUCUGAAAUAGUCCUAUGGAAGGUGUACUUCAUAGUAAUCUUUUAUAGUGAGGAAGGAUGAAUCGGCUCUGGGUUGUGUACAAAUCGCCCGGCACCCCUGUAUAGUCAAGUCUGGGUAAGUCGUAACAGAGUAAUACUACCGUAAGGUGGCUUUAUAGAAC
Molecule: non-coding RNA, 874 nt
Filed under: Teredo bartschi
Lineage: Eukaryota; Metazoa; Mollusca; Bivalvia; Myida; Teredinidae
Description: 12S ribosomal RNA
Rfam family: Microsporidia small subunit ribosomal RNA (bases 449-868)
Source: RNAcentral